This 649-nucleotide ribosomal RNA is filed under the name uncultured bacterium. RNAcentral describes it as "bacterial SSU rRNA". It matches the Rfam family "Bacterial small subunit ribosomal RNA", at positions 1 to 643 of the family's 1533-position model. The record is from RNAcentral.
AGAUUAGAGUUUGAUCAUGGCUCAGAGCGAACGUUAGCGGUGUGGAUAAGGCAUGCAAGUCGUGCGUGAAAGUCUUCGGACGAGUAAAGCGGCAAACGGGUGAGUAACACGUAGCCAACCUACCCCUCAAACUGGAAUAACCAUUGGAAACGAUGGCUAAUGCUAGAUGGUCUCCAAGUGUGGCAUCACACUAGGAGUAAACGGCAGCUUCGGCAGCUGUUGAGGGAGGGGGCUGCGGGCUAUUAGCUAGUUGGUGGGGUAAUGGCCUACCAAGGCGAUGAUGGCUAGCCGGUCUGAGAGGACGACCGGUCACACUGGGACUGAGACACUGCCCAGACUCCUACGGGAGGCUGCAGUCGAGAAUCUUCCGCAAUGGGCGAAAGCCUGACGGGGCGACACCGCGUGUAGGAUGAAGGCCUUCGGGUUGUAAACUACUGUCACGCUAUAGGAACCGUCCAUGGGUAAUAAUCAUGGGCCUGACUAAAGCGAGAGGAAGUACCGGCUAACUCCGUGCCAGCAGCCGCGGUAAUACGGAGGGUACAAACGUUGCUCGGAAUCACUGGGCAUAAAGCGCGCGUAGGCGGUCUACCCAGUUGGGUGUGAAAGCCCUCGGCUCAACCGAGGAAUUGCAUUCAAUACUAGUAGACUU